Molecule: long non-coding RNA, 504 nt
Filed under: Olea europaea subsp. europaea
Lineage: Eukaryota; Viridiplantae; Streptophyta; Magnoliopsida; Lamiales; Oleaceae
Source: RNAcentral
CUCUCUUAUCAUCAAUAAACACCCAUAAAUGCUAUCGAGUCCUCUCAAUACGCUCUGCAAUAACUCCUCCACUUCCACAUCUUCACUAACUCUUCCGUCUUCCGUCUUCCAUCUUCCUUCUUCCUCACCCUCUCGCUCUCGCUCUCAACUUUUAUCCGCUCUUUUUUCUUUCAAUCCCUUUCACUUCCAUGUCCUAACUAUUCUUAAAUUCGUUUCACAAGAAAAGCAUUCUUUGCAAUAAACCUCAAAACCACUUUUCACAGUGCUAAUCAAAUUCUGCUUUUUAAUCAACCCUUUGACCUUAAAACCAGAUCUGACCUACUUUGCUUGUCUCUAACCCUAAAACCUGGAUAUGGUUUUCUAGGGUUUCUAUCAACUUGCAAGAACAGUAAGUCAAACACACACACUUACAAAUGUAUAUAUGUUGUACUGUUUGUUUAUUCCGACUUCAGUCCUAUAAAACCAUGAUUUUCACCUUGCCGAAGUAAUUAAGUUUAAUUUCUG